This 337-nucleotide unclassified non-coding RNA is filed under the name soil metagenome. RNAcentral describes it as "partial contains 5.8S ribosomal RNA, internal transcribed spacer 2, and large subunit ribosomal RNA". The stretch from base 1 to 120 matches the Rfam family "5.8S ribosomal RNA", at positions 35 to 154 of the family's 154-position model. The record is from RNAcentral.
GAUGAAGAACGUAGCGAAAUGCGAUAAGUAGUGUGAAUUGCAGAAUUCAGUGAAUCAUCGAAUCUUUGAACGCACAUUGCGCCCCAUGGUAUUCCGUGUGGCAUGCCUGUUCGAGCGUCAUUUACCCCCUCAAGCUCCGCUUGGUGUUGGGCGUCUGUCCCGCUUCGCGCGCGGACUCGCCCCAAAGGUAUUGGCAGCGGUCGUGCCAGCUUCUCGCGCAGCACAUUGCGCUUCUCGAGGCACCGGUGGGCCCGCGUCCAUCAAGCUCACCCCCCCAGUUUGACCUCGGAUCAGGUAGGGAUACCCGCUGAACUUAAGCAUAUCAAUAAGCGGAGGA